This 253-nucleotide ribosomal RNA is filed under the name uncultured bacterium. RNAcentral describes it as "partial 16S ribosomal RNA". It matches the Rfam family "Bacterial small subunit ribosomal RNA", at positions 524 to 776 of the family's 1533-position model. The record is from RNAcentral.
UACGGAGGGUGCAAGCGUUAUCCGGAUUCACUGGGUUUAAAGGGUGCGUAGGAGGGCAGGUAAGUCAGUGGUGAAAUCUCCAAGCUUAACUUGGAAACUGCCGUUGAUACUACCUGUCUUGAAUACCGUGGAGGUGAGCGGAAUAUGUCAUGUAGCGGUGAAAUGCUUAGAUAUGACAUAGAACACCAAUUGCGAAGGCAGCUCGCUACACGAAUAUUGACUCUGAGGCACGAAAGCGUGGGGAUCAAACAGG